AGUUGGUUUGUCAACCGCCAUUAAACACAGAAAAAGAAGAAGAACGACGAGCAGCGACCUUGACAUCGGGGUUACUGAGGAGAUCGGUCCGAAAAAAAACAUCUACUUUAUAUGACCGAAAAUCGCGAGUUAUACAUUAUAUUUUCUUUGUAAGGGUCUGUUGUACGGUUAAGUGUCUUUAAUGACGUAAACUUUGUGUAAACUACUUGUUUAUUGAGACUGUUCACGGGUUUAAAACCUUCAGGCCCGUGUGAGAGACAGACACUUUCGGCUUGCAUUACGUUUACCGUUAGUUGCCGCAUUAUACAGCGAUAUCGAUCUUGCUAUUGAGCUCUAGUUAGACUAUUAGUGCUCAUUAUUCGCCUUGAGACACGAACUAGGAAUCGGAAAGACAGCGAGGGACGGACGGUUAGCGUACCUCCAACCACCGGGAGUGUUUUGGGCAAGUUACCUUUAUCCUCAUGGGACGGCCGGCUGUUCGUGAAAGAUCGUGUUUACCGUGCACAGAAGAAGAUCGUGUGAGUGCGUAAAGAACACAGGCCGCUACGCCAGGUGCAACGACUCAACUUAACUGCAUUGGGACUACCAGUGCUUCUGGUUAAAGAGUAAAUAUGUUGUGAUUUUAUGGCUGGAACGAUAUAUCGUGUAUAUGAAGUUUCUCAAUGAAUUACGGUUAAAUGCCACCACACCCGAAAGCCAGAGGGCGCCCUCGCGAAGAAACUCCGAAUAUGGGACACAGAAGGAGAACGCAAGUUCAACUACAAACGGUCAGAUGGUCUUGUCUGCUGUGAUUGGUCUACCGUGUGCAGUGUUGCAAAUGGAACGUAGGCGGGCACUACAUGGAGUAACGUCAAUCUGACCCUGAACUAAAAUUAGUACAACAGAGGACUAGUUGGCCAAGUCAAUAUCUCGUGCGCUCCAACAACAAGCGAUUGGUUUAUUACCCGCAGAAUAACCUUGGUUGUGCCAUGCAGGCCCACGCUUGAACGCACCAACGGAAAUGUAUGCCAAUAAGUUCUGUUUUAAUGUGAAAUCUUUUAAAUAAA
Long non-coding RNA from Triplophysa dalaica, 1046 nucleotides. RefSeq lists it as uncharacterized. Lineage: Eukaryota; Metazoa; Chordata; Actinopteri; Cypriniformes; Nemacheilidae. The record is from RefSeq and is a predicted model, not a curated record. The transcript has 3 exons.